RNAcentral lists this ribosomal RNA (459 nucleotides) under uncultured bacterium. RNAcentral describes it as "partial 16S ribosomal RNA". It matches the Rfam family "Bacterial small subunit ribosomal RNA", at positions 339 to 795 of the family's 1533-position model. The record is from RNAcentral.
CUACGGGUUGCACCAGUAAGGAAUAUUGCGCAAUGGAGGCAACUCUGACGCAGCCAUGCCGCGUGCAGGAAGAAGGCCUUAUGGGUCGUAAACUGCUUUUAUUUAGGAAUAAACCCCCGAACGUGUUCGGGGCUGAAGGUACUAAACGAAUAAGCACCGGCUAACUCCGUGCCAGCGGCCGCGGUAAUACGGAGGGUGCAAGCGUUAUCCGGAUUUAUUGGGUUUAAAGGGUGCGCAGGCGGGCUAUUAAGUCAGUGGUGAAAUCCCGGGGCUCAACUCCGGAACUGCCAUUGAUACUGAUAAUCUAGAGUUUGGUUGAAGUGGGCGGAAUGUAGCAUGUAGCGGUGAAAUGCAUAGAUAUGCUACAGAACACCAAUCGCGAAGGCAGCUCACUAAGCCAAAACUGACGCUCAUGCACGAAAGCGUGGGGAUCAAACAGGAUUAGAUACCCCAGUAGUC